AACGCACAUUGCGCCCCCUGGCAUUCCGGGGGGCAUGCCUGUCCGAGCGUCAUUUCUGCCCUCAAGCACGGCUUGUGUGUUGGGUGUGGUCCCCCCGGGGACCUGCCCGAAAGGCAGCGGCGACGUCCGUCUGGUCCUCGAGCGUAUGGGGCUCUGUCACUCGCUCGGGAAGGACCUGCGGGGGUUGGUCACCACCAUAUUUUACCACGGUUGACCUCGGAUCAGGUAGGAGUUACCCGCUGAACUUAA
RNAcentral lists this unclassified non-coding RNA (249 nucleotides) under uncultured Eurotiales. Its description in RNAcentral is "sequence contains 5.8S rRNA gene, ITS2, 28S rRNA gene". The record is from RNAcentral. RNAcentral also lists the same sequence under 1 other name. Lineage: Eukaryota; Fungi; Ascomycota; Eurotiomycetes; Eurotiales.